UAACACCAGAGCCACAAGUGGCAAUCGCGAUUAUUGGGCCUAAAGGGUUCGUAGCUGACCAAAUAAAUCUUUUGUGAAAUUGUUAGACUUAAUCUAACAGUAUGCAAAAGAAACUGUUUGGUUUGAGACCAGGAAGAGGCAGAAGUAUUCUAAGGGGAGUGGUAAAAUAUUAUAAUCCUUAGAAGACUACCUAUGGCGAAGGCAUCUGUCUAGAAUGGGUCUGACAGUGAGGAACGAAGGCUAGGGGAGCGAUCCGGAUUAGAUACCCGAGUAGUCCUAGCUGUAAACGCUGUGAACUAUGUGGUGCAUAUUUUUCGUGAAUAUGCAGCGCCGUAGCGAAGGUGUUAAGUUCACCGCCUGGGAAGUACGGCCGCAAGACUG
RNAcentral lists this ribosomal RNA (381 nucleotides) under uncultured archaeon. RNAcentral's name for it is "bacterial SSU rRNA". It matches the Rfam family "Archaeal small subunit ribosomal RNA", at positions 471 to 851 of the family's 1478-position model. The record is from RNAcentral.